UCCGCUGUAGCAAAGUUGUCUUUCAAUAGAUGAAUUCGGCACAUUCAUUGUGCCCCGGGUUCGAGUCCCGGCAGCGGAA
Molecule: non-coding RNA, 79 nt
Organism: Penstemon davidsonii
Lineage: Eukaryota; Viridiplantae; Streptophyta; Magnoliopsida; Lamiales; Plantaginaceae
Source: the annotation of a GenBank genome assembly